RNAcentral lists this ribosomal RNA (403 nucleotides) under uncultured bacterium. RNAcentral describes it as "partial 16S ribosomal RNA". It matches the Rfam family "Bacterial small subunit ribosomal RNA", at positions 29 to 526 of the family's 1533-position model. The record is from RNAcentral.
AUUGAACGCUGGCGGCAGGCCUAACACAUGCAAGUCGAGCGAGCGGAGGACGGGUGAGUAAUGUAUGGGGACUGCCCGAAAGAGGGGGAUAAAUACUGGAAACGGUGGCUAAAACCGAAUAAUAACGGAUAACCCAUAUGGGAUUAGCUAGUAGGAGGGGUAAAGGCUAACAUAGGCGACGAUCUCUAGCUGGGCUGAGAGGAUGCUCAUCCACACUGGGACUGAGACACGGCCCGGACUCCUAGGGAGGCAGCAGUGGGGAAUAGUGCACAAUGGGCGCAAGCCUGAGGCAGCCAUGCCGCGAAUAUGAAGAAGGCCUUAGGGUUGUAAAGUACUUUCAGCGGGGAGGCUUUACCCACAGAAGAAGCACCGGCUAACUCCGUGCCAGCAGCCGCGGUAAUAC